CAACAGCGUAUAUUAAAAUUGUUGCGGUUAAAACGCUCGUAGUCGAAUUCUUGCUAGGUGGUACUGGUGCUUCCCAGUGAAGUAUACGCGGUGUUCGCUUCAGCUAUUACUUGGUGAAGGUGCAUACGCUUCAGUGCGUGUCACACUAUCCAAGUCCUUACUUUGAGGAAAUUAGAGUGUUUCAAGCAGGCAUACGCCUUGAAUACAUUAGCAUGGAAUAAUAAGAUAGGACCUCGGUUCUAUUUUGUUGGUUUCUAGAGCUGAGGUAAUGAUUAAUAGGGAUAGUUGGGGGCAUUCGUAUUUAACUGUCAGAGGUGAAAUUCUUGGAUUUGUUAAAGACGGACUACUGCGAAAACAUUUGCCAAGGAUGUUUUCAUUGA
RNAcentral lists this ribosomal RNA (380 nucleotides) under uncultured eukaryote. RNAcentral's name for it is "partial 18S ribosomal RNA". It matches the Rfam family "Eukaryotic small subunit ribosomal RNA", at positions 592 to 976 of the family's 1831-position model. The record is from RNAcentral.